UCGAAUACCCUUAGCGAUAAAAAAAUACACUUUAAAAUAAAAUCUGCUUACAGAUUUCGAUAGUUUAAACUGCAUGCUAGCAUUGAGCUGUUGCAACAAAAUCCAGCAAGAAUGCCGUGUACAGCAAUAAUAUUAUGAUAAAAUGGCGACUGCGGUCACAGCAGCGAACUUUUACAGUUCUCUUGAGAGUCCGCCGUUUCCCACUUCUGAAUACUGGCUGGGACAAACUCAAAGCUGCUUUCGCUGGGCUUACGCUGUCGGCCUCUGCAUGCGGAUUUUGGACGGCUAUUUACUAGACCAGGGAAAUAAGAGAUAUGGACACUUUCAUAUAUGAGACAUUGAAUUAAGUACCACAAUCACACACUAUCACAACACACCACACAAACCACAAAGGUACACAUGAGAAUAAGCUGGCUGGAACUCAAUUAAGAUCACAGAAAAGCAGCAGGAAAUAUGUCACAAAAAACACGAUCUUUACAAAAUUGUAUGUAAUUAGACGGGAAUUGAAUAAACUGGAAGUAAUUUUAGUUUUGUCGUUUGUUUUACUAUCCGUACCGCUGGCAUUAAGUUACGUAAUAAGUUAGUUUAUUAGCAGUCCAUGCGGUGAUACGGCUUGGUUCUACUUAGUAGAGAGCCAAUUGAAAUAAAAUGCAAAGUUAUUUAAGGUAGUGCAUUAAUUACAUAUGGUGAAACCUUCAACAGUUCUCACUAAUAUAUAAAGGGGAAAGUUUGUGAGUAUGUUAGUUACUUUUUCAUGCUCAAUAGGCUGGACCAAUUUUUAUGAAAUUUGGUAUUCAGCACAGUCAUUUAAUUUAUCUAGAGGAGGUAUCUAAAUGGGUUAUCACCUAUCUAUCUAUAGGUAUGUCCUACAGUCGCCUCGUACGACACCCACGGGAGGAUAUGUAGUGAUCCUAUCCUAGGGCGGAACCACACGCCACAAUUCGCUCAUAUAAGAGAGAGAAAAAUAUAAUACUCGUAUAUGACAUUCAGUUGAAGUGAAAGCUAUCAUAUAAAAUAUCCAGCGAACAUGUAACGGCGUGGUGUAACCGACGGAAAUUGAAACGUUCUUUGCAUUUCAACGAGGACCGUCAUCGUUUCAAUCUAUAGUUUCAAUCGGAUAAUAGAAAUGUGAAUAAUUUGAUACGAGGAGAUAAGAUCUUUCCUAUUCCUAUUACCUAACUUUAAGUUGCAUGUUAAAAUAUUGAAGUUCAGAAAAGUUGGAAGCAAUAUCUUUGGCAUUCUUUUACUAUAUGACUACAAUAGAAAAGCUCUAGUCGACCAAUUUAAUCUAUUAGAUGUAAGUAUACAUUUAAAAGACUUUUCCCAUCACUUAAUUUUAAGCCCGUCAUUGUAUAUUAUAAAAAAUAUUUCUUUCAAGCGAAUAUUAUUUAUCAUUUACAAAAAUAGAUAAAUACUACAAAAAUGUAAAACAUAGUCAAUUACCAAUUGACUAACUGCUAUAAAUAUAUAUUAACUGUUGUUUAUUGUCCCAACAUUUUUUUCAGAAUUUAAAUUGACACCAACCUGGAAUUAGUAUGUACUCGUUUCCUAAAUCCGUGGACACCAAGUAAUAUCAGACGUCAAAAACAAAAUACGUAGGUAAUAUUAGAUUUUAAUAACCACACGUUGAAUAAGUGAAGCAGAACAUUGUCUAGCGUUUACAUAAUGUAGAUUGGUAGUUACUUUGCUAAUGAAAACAAGCUACAGAAACUGUUCGUAGUAAAACCACAAGCGGACGAAUGGGACAGAGUAAAACUAACUAGCUACAUAGUAUACGUCGCAUUUCAAAAUACAUAUUUUAUAUAGGUCGGUAAGAAAUGUUACAGAAUUAAA
Long non-coding RNA from Plodia interpunctella (Indianmeal moth), 1833 nucleotides. RefSeq lists it as uncharacterized. The record is from RefSeq and is a predicted model, not a curated record. NCBI's taxonomy places the organism in Eukaryota, Metazoa, Arthropoda, Insecta, Lepidoptera, Pyralidae. The transcript has 3 exons.